AGUGAACGCUGGCGGUAGGCCUAACACAUGCAAGUCGAACGGCAGCACAGUAAGAGCUUGCUCUUACGGGUGGCGAGUGGCGGUCGGGUGAGGAAUACAUCGGAAUCUACUUUUUCGUGGGGGAUAACGUAGGGAAACUUACGCUAAUACCGCAUACGACCUACGGGUGAAAGCAGGGGAUCUUCGGACCUUGCGCGAUUGAAUGAGCCGAUGUCGGAUUAGCUAGUUGGCGGGGUAAAGGCCCACCAAGGCGACGAUCCGUAGCUGGUCUGAGAGGAUGAUCAGCAACACUGGAACUGAGACACGGUCCAGACUCCUACGGGAGGCAGCAGUGGGGAAUAUUGGACAAUGGGCGCAAGCCUGAUCCAGCCAUACCGCGUGGGUGAAGAAGGCCUUCGGGUUGUAAAGCCCUUUUGUUGGGAAAGAAAAGCAGCAGGUUAAUACCCCGCUGUUCUGACGGUACCCAAAGAAUAAGCACCGGCUAACUUCGUG
RNAcentral lists this ribosomal RNA (492 nucleotides) under uncultured bacterium. RNAcentral's name for it is "partial 16S ribosomal RNA". It matches the Rfam family "Bacterial small subunit ribosomal RNA", at positions 29 to 507 of the family's 1533-position model. The record is from RNAcentral.